Molecule: long non-coding RNA, 1428 nt
Organism: Equus asinus (donkey)
Lineage: Eukaryota; Metazoa; Chordata; Mammalia; Perissodactyla; Equidae
Source: Ensembl
CUUUGUCCUCCAAGUUCCUGAAAACACAAGUUGUAGGUACCCAUCCGGAUACAGAAGGAGCACUCCUUUCCACUGUGGUUUGAGAUUUUGUCCAGACCUCUGAUGAACUAUGGAGGUAGGUCUCAUGGAGAAUUAAACAAACUGACGACCCCUUGAGAUUGCAUGGCGGUUUGCAGUCUUCACAGAUGUUUACAGAUGUAGUGUCUCAUAUGCUCCUCCCAGAGGCUCAUGGGGUAGGAGUAACAGGAGCUCUAUAGUCGAGCCUUCCCUGUGUGCCAGGUGGGCUUGUACUUGCUCAUUGACUCUUCACACAACCUUGGGAGUUGGGUUCUAGCCCCAUUUUGCAGAUGAGGCUCAGAGAGUUGAAUCUCAGAGAUGAGAUUCCGGAGUUCACGCAGUGGGAAGUGACAGGAUCAGCAUUGUGACCCUUCACAGUCUGCUUCCAAGGUCAGAUGUAAACCACUAUGUGACAUUGGCUCAAUGGCUUUCAGAGAACACACAUGACCUGUCACCUGUACACUGGAAUGAAGACCUAUCUGUCCUGCUCUUUCUUGUUUCAGCUUUCAGCUGGUUUGGGAACCUCUGAAGCUUUGUGCUCAGAUAGUUUCCUCUGCCUAGAUCCACUGUGGCUGUGGUUCCCUCCACUGGCGUCACUCAGGAAUCAGCCUUCUCUCUCUAAGGUCAAGCUCAUGGUUUGAAUCCCUUAAUUUCCUUCAAGUUGACAUUUUACCGUUCCAUGGUCCCAAGCCUCCAGCAGCUUCUAAAGGAGUGAUUUCAGAUAUGCUCUCCCCACAGUUCUUAGAACAAUUCAUUCCAAUCUUGGGACAAUGCCCGGAAUUCAAGAGAACCAGCAUGAUCCUUCCAGCCUGGCGUUUCCUUCCAUCUGCUGUCUAAAGCUCUGUCUACAGGCGUAAACUGCUAGAUGAUAAAACACUCCAAAAGACAGGAAACUUGCCAGAAGCUAGUGAGUCAGGAAGAAGGAAGCCAGGAUUCAACCCUGGCAUUGCUUCAGUGCUGAGGAUACAGCUAUGAACAAAAUCUCUUCCCCAAAUGAAUUUUAGAAAGAAGGUUUGCAUAACAUGUAAGAUGGAGGAAUUUAAAUUUCCACUCAAGCAUUAUUUCCUAUGGUGAAGGAUCCCACUACUGUGAUUCCAAGUUUAUUACUUGAGUGACCUCCUGACCUAAUGGAAUAGAAAAAAAUCCCUCUUUAGGCUGAAGACAUUGAAUUUCUAUCUCCAGCUCCAGAAAGCAUUUGAUCUUGUCACAUUAUUGCCGUGUAUACAAGUACAGGUUUAUCCAGCAAAAAUCAGACGUAGUCAUCUCAAACGCCAUAUCUCAGAUGCUUGUGCAGACGUUGACGGAAGCUGCUAGUACACCAUGUUCAUUCCAAUUUUGAACACUACAUUGAACUGUGCGUUUUAAUGAAGG